Non-coding RNA from Picea glauca (white spruce), 74 nucleotides. NCBI's taxonomy places the organism in Eukaryota, Viridiplantae, Streptophyta, Pinopsida, Pinales, Pinaceae. The record is from Rfam.
UGGAGCAUGGUGCAGCUUGGUAGUGUGCCAUCUUGGGGUGAUGGAGGUUGUGGGUUCAGAUCCUGAUGCUCCAA